Non-coding RNA from Eublepharis macularius, 87 nucleotides. The record is from the annotation of a RefSeq genome assembly. NCBI's taxonomy places the organism in Eukaryota, Metazoa, Chordata, Lepidosauria, Squamata, Eublepharidae.
GCCUGCUUGUUCCUCAGUGGUCUGGGGUGCAGGCUUCAAACCUGUAGCUGUAUAGCGACAGAGCGAUUCUGCUCCACCUUUCAGGCA